UGGGGAAUAUUGGACAAUGGGCGCAAGCCUGAUCCAGCCAUGCCGCGUGAGUGACGAAGGUCUUCGGAUUGUAAAGCUCUUUUGGCGGGGACGAUAAUGACGGUACCCGCAGAAUAAGCCCCGGCUAACUUCGUGCCAGCAGCCGCGGUAAUACGAAGGGGGCUAGCGUUGUUCGGAAUUACUGGGCGUAAAGCGCACGUAGGCGGACUGAUAAGUCAGGGGUGAAAUCCCGGGGCUCAACCUCGGAACUGCCUUUGAUACUGUUAGUCUCGAGUCCGGAAGAGGUGAGUGGAAUUCCUAGUGUAGAGGUGAAAUUCGUAGAUAUUAGGAAGAACACCAGUGGCGAAGGCGGCUCACUGGUCUGGUACUGACGCUGAGGUGCGAAAGCGUGGGGAGCAAACAGGAUUAGAUACCCUCGUAGUCCCUGAGCGGGCUGGCAAGGCGCAU
This 447-nucleotide ribosomal RNA is filed under the name uncultured bacterium. RNAcentral describes it as "bacterial SSU rRNA". It matches the Rfam family "Bacterial small subunit ribosomal RNA", at positions 355 to 825 of the family's 1533-position model. The record is from RNAcentral.